AUAAUGGCCCGCUCUGGUAUUAUUGCCUGGAAAAUUCCAUGGACAGAGGACCCUAGCGGGCUACAGUCCAUGAGUUUGCAAACAGUCGGAUAUGACUGAGCAGGAACACACACAUAGGCAUAGAGAGAUUUGGAAGGGUAUAACACCAAUAUGUUCCAGUAGUCACGUAUGGAUGUGAGAGUUGGACUAUAAAGAAAGCUGAGCACCGAAGAAUUGAUGCUUUUGAACUGUGGUGUUGGAGAAUACUCUUGAGAGUCCUUUGGACUGCAAGGAGAUCCAACCAGUCAUGCUAAAGGAAAUCAGUUCUGAAUAUUCAUUGGAAGGACUGAUAUUGAAGCUGAAACUCCAAUACUUUGGCCACCUCGUUGGAAGAGACCCUGAUGCUGGGAAAGAUUGAAGGCAGGAGAAGGGGAUGACAGAGGAUGAGAUGGUUGGAUGGCAUCACUGACUCAAUGGACAUGAGUUUGACAAAGCUCUGGGAGAUGGUGAAGGACAGGGAAGCCUGGUGUGCUGCAGCCCAUGGGGUCGCAAAGAGUGGGACAGGACUGAGCAACUGAACUGAACUGUACUGAGCACCAAUAUGUUAGCCUUUGUUAUCUCCCAAUGAUGAGGAAUCUGCCAUUCUGAGAACCUUGAGAGCUCAUGCAGGUGCUGAACUCCGGAUUCAGUCCCAGGCCUGUCUGACUCCAUGGCUACACUGCCUCUGGUUCUUGGGAGAGAGAAUGCAUCUUCUGGGGACCUGGUUGCCCUGUAUUUGUCCCUGGGUGCAGAUGUUCAGACAUUUCAGGAGACUUCUGGGAUUUGCAUCAUGUAUUGAAUUCAAUCAGCACUUCUUAACAUGGGUUCACAGAAGCCAUGUCCAGACCUCAAAGGUGAGCAAGAUAGAAGCAGUCUCAUCUGGGAGCAUACUUAAGUAUCUUUGAAUCGUCCCUGGAACUGUGGCUUCAUCUGACCAACUGCAGUUCUUUCAGACCCAGAACCCCACUGAACUGGGAGCAGCUUAGCAGGGGGCACAGAAGUGUCUUCCUUUGCCACCUGUUCCACAUGUGUGGCUCAUCUGAAUCUGGCACCUGUUCUUUUUGACAAAAUCUGCCACAUGCUUGCUUUCCCUUGUUCUCUUUCUCCCCACCCC
Long non-coding RNA from Bos taurus (domestic cattle), 1132 nucleotides. NCBI's taxonomy places the organism in Eukaryota, Metazoa, Chordata, Mammalia, Artiodactyla, Bovidae. The record is from Ensembl.